Esox lucius (northern pike) is the source of this 189-nucleotide small nuclear RNA. Its record names the gene U2. It matches the Rfam family "U2 spliceosomal RNA". From Rfam's summary of the family: U2 is a small nuclear RNA (snRNA) component of the spliceosome (involved in pre-mRNA splicing). Complementary binding between U2 snRNA (in an area lying towards the 5' end but 3' to hairpin I) and the branchpoint sequence (BPS) of the intron results the bulging out of an unpaired adenosine, on the BPS, which initiates a nucleophilic attack at the intronic 5' splice site, thus starting the first of two transesterification reactions that mediate splicing. Lineage: Eukaryota; Metazoa; Chordata; Actinopteri; Esociformes; Esocidae. The record is from Ensembl.
AUCGCUUCUCGGCCUUUUGGCUAAGAUCAAGUGUAGUAUCUGUUCUUAUAAGUUUAAUAUCUGAUACGUCCCCUAUCUGGGGACCAUAUAUUAAAUUGAUUUUUGGAAUAGGGAGAUGGAAUAGGGGCUUUCUCCGUCCACUACACACAUCGACCUGGGAUUUCAUACACCAAGAAUGGCGGCAGCAGG